RNAcentral lists this ribosomal RNA (358 nucleotides) under Trichosporon asahii. RNAcentral's name for it is "eukaryotic LSU rRNA". The stretch from base 1 to 125 matches the Rfam family "5.8S ribosomal RNA", at positions 30 to 154 of the family's 154-position model. Lineage: Eukaryota; Fungi; Basidiomycota; Tremellomycetes; Trichosporonales; Trichosporonaceae. The record is from RNAcentral.
GCAUCGAUGAAGAACGCAGCGAAUUGCGAUAAGUAAUGUGAAUUGCAGAAUUCAGUGAAUCAUCGAAUCUUUGAACGCAGCUUGCGCUCUCUGGUAUUCCGGAGAGCAUGCCUGUUUCAGUGUCAUGAAAUCUCAACCACUAGGGUUUCCUAAUGGAUUGGAUUUGGGCGUCUGCGAUUUCUGAUCGCUCGCCUUAAAAGAGUUAGCAAGUUUGACAUUAAUGUCUGGUGUAAUAAGUUUCACUGGGUCCAUUGUGUUGAAGCGUGCUUCUAAUCGUCCGCAAGGACAAUUACUUUGACUCUGGCCUGAAAUCAGGUAGGACUACCCGCUGAACUUAAGCAUAUCAAUAAGCGGAGGA